UACGGAGGAUCCGAGCGUUAUCCGGAUUUAUUGGGUUUAAAGGGAGCGUAGGUGGAUUGUUAAGUCAGUUGUGAAAGUUUGCGGCUCAACCGUAAAAUUGCAGUUGAAACUGGCAGUCUUGAGUACAGAAGAGGUGGGCGGAAUUCGUGGUGUAGCGGUGAAAUGCUUAGAUAUCACGAAGAACUCCGAUUGCGAAGGCAGCUCACUGGAUUGCAACUGACACUGAGGCUCGAAAGUGUGGGUAUCAAACAGG
RNAcentral lists this ribosomal RNA (253 nucleotides) under uncultured bacterium. Its description in RNAcentral is "partial 16S ribosomal RNA". It matches the Rfam family "Bacterial small subunit ribosomal RNA", at positions 524 to 776 of the family's 1533-position model. The record is from RNAcentral.